RNAcentral lists this ribosomal RNA (237 nucleotides) under Triticum aestivum (bread wheat). RNAcentral describes it as "partial small subunit ribosomal RNA". Lineage: Eukaryota; Viridiplantae; Streptophyta; Magnoliopsida; Poales; Poaceae. The record is from RNAcentral.
AUGCCCAGCAAUAUCAUCAAUUCAACAAGCAGUUACUCGAAAUUCCAUCGCCCCAAAUGGCAUAGGAUACCUCGGGCGUCCAACUUCUGGCAUAAGUUUUUGUGCAUUCAAAAAUUUAGGAACCUGAACCACAAGGGCAAAUGGAAGGCACCUUUGAUCGGUAAUCCAGAGUACAUGGAUGAUUCUUACACCUAUGCUUUUGAUAGGCUGAUGCACACUGGCGUUGAGCCAAGGUAG